GUGUAUUUUAAUUUGUAUUGUGCGUGAUACCCGAUGCAGUGAAAUUGAUUAUAAAAUCAUACGUUCGUACAUAGAGAUUAAUAUGCAGUCAGUGGCGUACCUUUGAGAGGAUCACAAAGAGGGCAUUCGCCCCCCCCCCCUCCUGUGGGUCGUAUAAUUAUGUGUGACGAUAUGUGUACAUUGUUAUAUUUUUUAAAUUCGUAAGAAAUUGUCUACUUUAAGAACGGGUGAAAAUAUAUUUCGCACCUUCUCGUAAGAGAGGCUGAGAUACGCCACUUUACGUAGUAUUGCAGUAGUAUUUAUUAUUAUUUUUAAAUAAUAAUAUUUGUGAUCAAUAGUAGUGGGUAUAGAAGGUAGAA
Non-coding RNA from Cinara cedri, 359 nucleotides. Lineage: Eukaryota; Metazoa; Arthropoda; Insecta; Hemiptera; Aphididae. The record is from the annotation of a GenBank genome assembly.